GCGAAUGUUGCCAAAUUGAAGAAGGAAAAAAAAAUGUAGAGGAAGUAAAGGGAGUUGAGGUCAGAACCAAACAAGAAACGUAAUGAGCCCCCACCACCUUUGAAUUGAGCUAGCUAAUGAUGCCCGUUCUGAAAACAAGAAGUCCAAGCAAAAUAUUCUGGAAGUUUUAAAGUGCCCUGGCAUCAUCUCAAACUUUUCCUCGAUCUUUAACAAGUGAAAAGUAGCUGGCUUUUCCACUCUUUCUUUUCCACGAGAAUACUUCCCAGGUAAAAGAAAGGCACAGUUCUUCAGAAAGCAAGAAGUUGAGGAAGUUAAUGAUGCGUAAAGAAAGGUGAGUUUUAUUUUUUGCUUUGAAGAAAAUUGCUUUAGAAUAAAGUAUACUGUUUAAAACUGAAAAUGUAAAUGAUAGAAAGAAUUUUAU
Molecule: long non-coding RNA, 421 nt
Organism: Uloborus diversus
Lineage: Eukaryota; Metazoa; Arthropoda; Arachnida; Araneae; Uloboridae
Exons: 4
Source: RefSeq, a predicted model, not a curated record